CCUACGGGAGGCUGCAGUGAGGAAUAUUGGUCAAUGGGCGUAAGCCUGAACCAGCCAAGUCGCGUGAGGGAUGAAGGUUCUAUGGAUCGUAACCCUCUUUUAUAAGGGAAUAAAGUGCGGGACGUGUCCCGUUUUGUAUGUACCUUAUGAAUAAGGAUCGGCUAACUCCGUGCCAGCAGCCGCGGUAAUACGGAGGAUCCGAGCGUUAUCCGGAUUUAUUGGGUGUAAAGGGUGCGUAGGCGGCAUUUUAAGUCAGCGGGGAAAGUCUGUGGUUCAACCAUAGAAUUGCCGUUGAAACUGGGAGGCUUGAGUGUGUGUGAGGCAGGCGGAAUGCGGGGUGUAGCGGGGAAAUGCGUAGAUAGAAGGAAGAACACCAGUUGCGAAGGCGGCCUGCCAGGCCAUGACUGACGCUGAUGCACGAAAGCGUGGGGAUCAAACAGGAUUAGAUACCCGGGUAGUC
This 460-nucleotide ribosomal RNA is filed under the name uncultured bacterium. RNAcentral's name for it is "partial 16S ribosomal RNA". It matches the Rfam family "Bacterial small subunit ribosomal RNA", at positions 338 to 795 of the family's 1533-position model. The record is from RNAcentral.